This 404-nucleotide ribosomal RNA is filed under the name Alternaria infectoria. RNAcentral's name for it is "eukaryotic LSU rRNA". The stretch from base 44 to 197 matches the Rfam family "5.8S ribosomal RNA". Lineage: Eukaryota; Fungi; Ascomycota; Dothideomycetes; Pleosporales; Pleosporaceae. The record is from RNAcentral.
UUUUGCAAUAGCAACCAGCGUCAGUAACAACGUAAUUAAUUACAACUUUCAACAACGGAUCUCUUGGUUCUGGCAUCGAUGAAGAACGCAGCGAAAUGCGAUACGUAGUGUGAAUUGCAGAAUUCAGUGAAUCAUCGAAUCUUUGAACGCACAUUGCGCCCUUUGGUAUUCCAAAGGGCAUGCCUGUUCGAGCGUCAUUUGUACCCUCAAGCUUUGCUUGGUGUUGCGCGUCUUUUGUCUCCAGUUCGCUGGAGACUCGCCUUAAAGUCAUUGGCAGCCGGCCUACUGGUUUCGGAGCGCAGCACAAGUCGCGCUCUUUGCCAGCCAAGGUCAGCGUCCAGCAAGCCUUUUUUUCAACCUUUGACCUCGGAUCAGGUAGGGAUACCCGCUGAACUUAAGCAUAU